GCCUCGGUAUCCCAAUUGGCAGAGGAGACGGAUUCAAAACCCGUUUGUUGUGGGUUCGACUCCCACCCGAGGCA
Molecule: transfer RNA, 74 nt
Filed under: Actinocorallia herbida
Lineage: Bacteria; Bacillati; Actinomycetota; Actinomycetes; Streptosporangiales; Thermomonosporaceae
Rfam family: tRNA
About the family: Transfer RNA (tRNA) molecules are approximately 80 nucleotides in length. Their secondary structure includes four short double-helical elements and three loops (D, anti-codon, and T loops). Further hydrogen bonds mediate the characteristic L-shaped molecular structure. tRNAs have two regions of fundamental functional importance: the anti-codon, which is responsible for specific mRNA codon recognition, and the 3' end, to which the tRNAs corresponding amino acid is attached (by aminoacyl-tRNA synthetases). tRNAs cope with the degeneracy of the genetic code in two manners: having more than one tRNA (with a specific anti-codon) for a particular amino acid; and 'wobble' base-pairing, i.e. permitting non-standard base-pairing at the 3rd anti-codon position.
Source: Rfam by way of RNAcentral